RNAcentral lists this ribosomal RNA (657 nucleotides) under Bacillus pumilus. RNAcentral's name for it is "bacterial SSU rRNA". It matches the Rfam family "Bacterial small subunit ribosomal RNA", at positions 76 to 718 of the family's 1533-position model. The record is from RNAcentral. Lineage: Bacteria; Bacillati; Bacillota; Bacilli; Caryophanales; Bacillaceae.
GAGCUUGCUCCCGGAUGUUAGCGGCGGACGGGUGAGUAACACGUGGGUAACCUGCCUGUAAGACUGGGAUAACUCCGGGAAACCGGAGCUAAUACCGGAUAGUUCCUUGAACCGCAUGGUUCAAGGAUGAAAGACGGUUUCGGCUGUCACUUACAGAUGGACCCGCGGCGCAUUAGCUAGUUGGUGGGGUAAUGGCUCACCAAGGCGACGAUGCGUAGCCGACCUGAGAGGGUGAUCGGCCACACUGGGACUGAGACACGGCCCAGACUCCUACGGGAGGCAGCAGUAGGGAAUCUUCCGCAAUGGACGAAAGUCUGACGGAGCAACGCCGCGUGAGUGAUGAAGGUUUUCGGAUCGUAAAGCUCUGUUGUUAGGGAAGAACAAGUGCGAGAGUAACUGCUCGCACCUUGACGGUACCUAACCAGAAAGCCACGGCUAACUACGUGCCAGCAGCCGCGGUAAUACGUAGGUGGCAAGCGUUGUCCGGAAUUAUUGGGCGUAAAGGGCUCGCAGGCGGUUUCUUAAGUCUGAUGUGAAAGCCCCCGGCUCAACCGGGGAGGGUCAUUGGAAACUGGGAAACUUGAGUGCAGAAGAGGAGAGUGGAAUUCCACGUGUAGCGGUGAAAUGCGUAGAGAUGUGGAGGAACACCAGUGGCGA